This 1507-nucleotide long non-coding RNA is filed under the name Theobroma cacao (cacao). RNAcentral describes it as "long non-coding RNA (TCAC_LNC001354)". Lineage: Eukaryota; Viridiplantae; Streptophyta; Magnoliopsida; Malvales; Malvaceae. The record is from RNAcentral.
CUAGAGCAGUUUUGAUUGCUUAUGCAGCAAUUGAUCCUUGAUUAAAUUGAAAGAUUACAAGGCUCCUAUUUGAACAUGAAAAAAGGAAAGCUAAUUUUCGACUAGUUUUUCCCAUCAGAAUCCAUUCAUAAUCAUUUAUAAAUCACAAUUGACCCCAUGUUUGCUUUGCAGCAACAGUGAAAAAAUUUCCAGGAAUCCGGCCACAUUCUAUGCCAUCAGAUGGAGUAAAAUCACAUUUUGGCAUCUCCUGUUCACUGUAAUUGUCUCAUAAGCAUUAAUCAUGCUGGACUCUAAAUAAAAUUUUCUUGUCCUAGUCCAGAAUAAACUACAAAGUAAAAUUUGGCCACCAGAGAAAGUAAGCAAAAACAAAGAAGAAAGAAACAGUGUUUAAUUUUGUUCACAUGAAUGGAUAUUUAUGCUGUAAGCUUGCCCUUUUAUCCUCAUGUGGACCCAAACAUUGUUCUGUUUUGAUUGUCAGGUCUCCCUCUGGAGGGUCCCAAACCCAAACUAUAGAAAAUGGAGGAAGCAAGAAAGAAAGCGACUCUGAAUAGGCGCUUGAGGUCAAAGACUUUAUCCUUCACAACGUUAAAAUACGUCCUUUAGUUCAAAUACGGCUUAGCAUUAAUUGGCAGUAUUCGGAUGUGUGUAGGAAACCAGAAACAAAGGCUCAGCCACUCAUCCUGAGCCUGAGGGAAUGGUAGAAUCUCAAUCACGCACUUCCUGCUUGGAAACGAGACCUCCCAAAUAACUCAAUAAGGUUUUUAACUUUUUGGUCCUCCACGACUUAUUCAGGAUAUUCCCGCUCAACUUGUGCAUCAAAAAGACUUUCCUACUCAUGUUGAAGUAUCUAACUUGUGGUGGAAACUCGAAAGGCACGCCUGCCAUUACAUGAUUUGGCAGAUUGCAUAUAUAUCUUAUUGGUGUGUGCAUAUAAUUAGCACGUUUCAGAUUUGCCUAGAUUCUGCAAAACCAAUGACCUUCUGACACUGUAUAAGCUCUUAAGCAGGCCAAAAGAAAGAAUUUGCAAUUUAAUUGUAUUAUUGUGGUACCCAUUUGUUACUGAACAAUCAUUUAAAAUAAAACUAAAGCGCCAAAUGACAGAAAAAGCAACCAGAUCCAUUCAACAAAGUAGAAGUAGUCUGACCUGGGUUCGGUUUGUAGCUAUAUGAAGAAUUUCAAAGCUGGCAUAUUCCGUUGCGAUUCUCAACUGGUAUUUAGUUUGGAGCGAAGUGAUGGUUCGCUGGCUAGAGCACUCUAGGAGGGGCACAUGGCUUGAUAUGCGGGUCUUUGGAGAUUGUUUUUUGAGAGCGACUGUUUGCUCUUUCAAUUAUUUGUGAUUGAAGAGGUGUCCGAACGCCGCACAAAUCUGAAAGACAUUAUACGUGUAAAGGCUUUUAUAUUCAGGGAAAAAAACAUCUCUAAUCAGUCCAACUCAAAUAAUUAUUCCGAAAAACUAGUGAACAGCAGAAUUCCGGCGUUCACAUAUAAGAAGAAUCCUAAAUACCAG